AGUGGAGUGGCUGAGUUUUUAGGCGGUAGAUUGUAAAUCUACUAACGGGUUUUUUACCUCUUUACUA
RNAcentral lists this transfer RNA (67 nucleotides) under Microhodotermes viator. Its description in RNAcentral is "tRNA-Tyr". It matches the Rfam family "tRNA". Rfam says of the family: Transfer RNA (tRNA) molecules are approximately 80 nucleotides in length. Lineage: Eukaryota; Metazoa; Arthropoda; Insecta; Blattodea; Hodotermitidae. The record is from RNAcentral.